Molecule: non-coding RNA, 127 nt
Organism: Triticum aestivum (bread wheat)
Lineage: Eukaryota; Viridiplantae; Streptophyta; Magnoliopsida; Poales; Poaceae
Source: Rfam
ACUAUACUCCCUCCGUCCGAAAAUAUUUGUCCAAGAAAUGAAUAUAAAUGGAUGUAUCUAGAAUUAAAAUACAUCUAGAGUCAUCCAUUCCCCGGACAAGUAUUUCCAGACGGAGGAACACUACAAG